Molecule: small nucleolar RNA, 90 nt
Filed under: Dasypus novemcinctus (nine-banded armadillo)
Lineage: Eukaryota; Metazoa; Chordata; Mammalia; Cingulata; Dasypodidae
Description: Small nucleolar RNA SNORA31 (ENSDNOG00000049031.1)
Source: RNAcentral
UUGUUUCUACUGUAGAUGCAAGAAAAAGAAGGUCCCCGUGCUUUCUGUCUGUCUGGUUGUGGCACCAAGAUUGAAUGGGGGAAUACAGGA